This 1515-nucleotide ribosomal RNA is filed under the name Hyaloscyphaceae sp. HB9933. RNAcentral's name for it is "eukaryotic LSU rRNA". The stretch from base 610 to 1515 matches the Rfam family "Eukaryotic large subunit ribosomal RNA", at positions 1 to 933 of the family's 3401-position model. Lineage: Eukaryota; Fungi; Ascomycota; Leotiomycetes; Helotiales; Hyaloscyphaceae. The record is from RNAcentral.
GAUUGAAUGGCUCAGUGAGGCUUUCGGACUGGCCCAGGAGGGGGGGCAACUCCCCACCAGGGCCGGAAAGUUGUUCAAACUUGGUCAUUUAGAGGAAGUAAAAGUCGUAACAAGGUUUCCGUAGGUGAACCUGCGGAAGGAUCAUUACAGAGUUUUUGCCCGCAAGGGUAGAUCUCCCACCCUUGAAAUUUAUACCUUUGUUGCUUUGGCAGGCCGCGGUCUCCGCUGCUGGCUCCGGCUAGUACGUGCCUGCCAGAGAACCCAACUCUUGAUAUUUGUGAUGUCUGAGUACUAUAUAAUAGUUAAAACUUUCAACAACGGAUCUCUUGGUUCUGGCAUCGAUGAAGAACGCAGCGAAAUGCGAUAAGUAAUGUGAAUUGCAGAAUUCAGUGAAUCAUCGAAUCUUUGAACGCACAUUGCACCCCUUGGUAUUCCGAGGGGUAUGCCUGUUCGAGCGUCAUUAUGACCAUCAAGCCUAGCUUGGUAUUGGAGCCCGCCGUACCGGCGCCUCCUAAACCUAGUGGCGGUGCCGUCUGGCCCUAAGCGUAGUAAUCUUUCUCGCUACAGGGUCCUGCGGUUGCUCGCUAGACAACCCCAACUUCUUAAGGUUGACCUCGGAUCAGGUAGGGAUACCCGCUGAACUUAAGCAUAUCAAUAAGCGGAGGAAAAGAAACCAACAGGGAUUGCCUCAGUAACGGCGAGUGAAGCGGCAACAGCUCAAAUUUGAAAUCUGGCUUCGGUCCGAGUUGUAAUUUGUAGAAGAUGCUUCGAGUGUAGUCCCGGUCUAAGUUCCUUGGAACAGGACGUCAUAGAGGGUGAGAAUCCCGUAUGUGACUGGGUACUUUCGCUCAUGUGAAGCUCUUUCGACGAGUCGAGUUGUUUGGGAAUGCAGCUCAAAAUGGGUGGUAAAUUUCAUCUAAAGCUAAAUAUUGGCCAGAGACCGAUAGCGCACAAGUAGAGUGAUCGAAAGAUGAAAAGCACUUUGGAAAGAGAGUUAAACAGUACGUGAAAUUGUUGAAAGGGAAGCGCUUGCAACCAGACUUGCACGCUGCCGAUCAUCCGAGGUUUUCCCCGGUGCACUCGGUUGCGUUCAGGCCAGCAUCGGUUUGGGUGGUUAGAUAAAGGCCUUGGGAAUGUGGCUCUUCGGAGUGUUAUAGCCCUCGGUGCAAUGUAGCCUACCCGGACCGAGGACCGCGCUUCGGCUAGGAUGCUGGCGUAAUGGUUGUAAGCGACCCGUCUUGAAACACGGACCAAGGAGUGUAAUACUUAUGCGAGUGUUUGGGUGUUAAACCCAUACGCGUAAUGAAAGUGAACGGAGGUGAGAACCCUUAAGGGUGCAUCAUCGACCGAUCCUGAUGUCUUCGGAUGGAUUUGAGUAAGAGCAUAAUUAUUGCGACCCGAAAAAUGGUGAACUAUGCGUGAAUAGGGUGAAGCCAGAGGAAACUCUGGUGGAGGCUCGCAGCGGUUCUGACGUGCAAAUCGAUCGUCAAAUUGGCGCAUAGGGGCGAAAGACUA